Molecule: non-coding RNA, 216 nt
Organism: Pelobates cultripes (western spadefoot toad)
Lineage: Eukaryota; Metazoa; Chordata; Amphibia; Anura; Pelobatidae
Source: the annotation of a GenBank genome assembly
AUAAGGCCAUUUUUUGAAAAAUAUCCACACAAUGUUGGAAAAAAUACAGAAUUUUCCAAUUCCCGCCUCUCCAGACUAUUUUUUUCCACACCUUUAUCUCAGCUGACUAAUCUCCAGGCCACUAAUCUCCAGGCCACACUACCGACCGUAGGCGACCUCAUAAAUCAAGUGGACUGAAACUGGUCCUAUGAACACAUGCCAAUGACACAGCCAGGC